This 268-nucleotide unclassified non-coding RNA is filed under the name Hevea brasiliensis (rubber tree). Lineage: Eukaryota; Viridiplantae; Streptophyta; Magnoliopsida; Malpighiales; Euphorbiaceae. The record is from RNAcentral.
UCGUGGAUGGGCAUGCAUUCCUGUCAUUCCUUCUUACUCUAAAAGUUACUCGGAUAAUAAAUUACUUCCCACAUCCUUUAAAGAAGCUAGGCCUAAUUGCUAUAGUCGCUCCUCAGCAACACCUGGAGUGCCUCUAUACCCUCUCCAGUAACAUUUGGUUAAAAUAUCCCCAGUGAGGGCUGUGUUAGCGUGUGUUUUUGGGAGUGGUAUCUUAAAUAGUGGUAGUGACUCUGCUAUAUCUAGUUCCUUCGAUGAUGGAUUAUUGCCA